Molecule: long non-coding RNA, 767 nt
Filed under: Homo sapiens (human)
Lineage: Eukaryota; Metazoa; Chordata; Mammalia; Primates; Hominidae
Description: HSALNT0108093
Source: RNAcentral
UCACAGUAGGGUUCACGCUGCUAUGAGAAUCAAAUGUCCCGCUGAUCCGACAGGAGGUGAAGCUCAGGCGGUAAUGGCUGGCCUGUUGCUCACCUCCUGCUGUGCGGCCAGGCUCGCCACAGACCUAUAGGAUCUGCCGCCCGGGGCUGGGGACGCCUGCUCUAGAGCACUAGCAGUAUACCAGUAUGAAAAGUAUAAAUGAAGUAAAAUGAUUCAUAUUAAACUGCAGCAGACCCCCAGCCGGCACAUUCUUCUGUACGAAUGAUAUACAGGCUGAAUGGAGAAGACUAUAAAGACCCAAAGGAAGACAGUACAAGUCAUGACAGAAACUUGUGUUGCUAGAUGAUUUCAUGGAACAGAGCCUCUAUCCUCAUCACUUCCUGCAACCUAAAUUCGAGCUGUUAUAGAGCUAGCCUACCUCACUAAUAUAUUAUUCAUCCUAAAUUUACAUAAAAGUGAAAACCAAAAUUGUAAUACUUCUGUCUUGCUUCCUCUGGGAAACUUCUUUCUUGGAUAUGUAGCCAUAAAAUGAAACUAAUUUCUUAAGAUACUCAAGGCACAUGUUUCUGCUUUUCAGAUUUGGUUUCUAUCAAAAACUCUUUUGCUUUAAUUAUGAACAUGUUUGCCUCCAAAAUAAAUGAGAAAAUGCUAUUUAUUUAUUUAAACAGGUUAGGAGAUUCUUCAUGAAGUCGAGGGCUUUGUCUUUAAAACCAGAACCUAGAAUAAUGCUACUAUGAUAGCACUCAGGAAAUUUUGAUUUAAUUAUU